CUACUCGGGUAUCUAAUCCCGUUCGCUCCCCUAGCUUUCGCACAUCAGCGUCAGUGUCAGCCCAGCAACCCGCCUUCGCCGCAGGUGUUCCUCUCGAUAUCUACGCAUUUCACCGCUACACCGAGAAUUCCAGUUGCCCCUUCUGCACUCUAGCCCCGCAGUAUCAGUUGACCUUUCUGGGUUAAGCCCAGAGCUUUCACAACUGACUUGCGGUGGCCGCCUACGCGCCCUUUACGCCCAGUAAAUCCGAACAACGCUUGCUCCCCCCGUAUUACCGCGGCUGCUGGCAC
RNAcentral lists this ribosomal RNA (290 nucleotides) under uncultured Acidobacteriota bacterium. RNAcentral's name for it is "uncultured Acidobacteria bacterium partial 16S ribosomal RNA". The record is from RNAcentral. Lineage: Bacteria; Pseudomonadati; Acidobacteriota.